This 430-nucleotide ribosomal RNA is filed under the name uncultured bacterium. RNAcentral describes it as "bacterial SSU rRNA". It matches the Rfam family "Bacterial small subunit ribosomal RNA", at positions 28 to 422 of the family's 1533-position model. The record is from RNAcentral.
GACGAACGCUGGCGGCGUGCCUAAUACAUGCAAGUCGAACGCACUCUCGUUUAGAUUGAAGGAGCUUGCUCCUGAUUGAUAAACAUUUGAGUGAGUGGCGGACGGGUGAGUAACACGUGGGUAACCUGCCCUAAAGUGGGGGAUAACAUUUGGAAACAGAUGCUAAUACCGCAUAAAACCUAAACACCGCAUGGUGUAGGGUUGAAAGAUGGUUUCGGCUAUCACUUUAGGAUGGACCCGCGGUGCAUUAGUUAGUUGGUGAGGUAAAGGCUCACCAAGACCGUGAUGCAUAGCCGACCUGAGAGGGUAAUCGGCCACACUGGGACUGAGACACGGCCCAGACUCCUACGGGAGGCAGCAGUAGGGAAUCUUCCACAAUGGACGAAAGUCUGAUGGAGCAAACGCCGCGUGAGUGAAGAAGGUUUUCGGA